AGCCUCAUGUAUCAAUCAAUCUCUCUGAAUUCCUUCUGUCUUCUCUCUGUUAACUAUUCUUCUUCUCCCUUCAAUGGCUGAUGUCUCUUCUUCCCCCACUGAUCUAUUCCGGCAACCCCGACCCUCCCUGGCGCGAAGCACGCCGUCGCCACCACCCACCGCCGGAUUGUGAUCGGAAUCCCGUCAUAGCCUAUCAAUUUUGAUGAACCCAUUCACGGAUCAUCUUCUCCAAGUCACUAACAACAAUUUCAAGACAGAUCUGAGAAAAUCAUUCCAUUGAGAUUAUUAACCCUAGCUAUCCAAAACAAACAAACAAAUUCAAAUUCAAAGGCUUUUGUAUCAAGAAAUUAUUUACAAGAUUUGAAAUUGUAUCGGAAAUGGCUUUCUUUUAUGGGGUUGCUUGCCAUGAACGGUAUAUGAAGGUGGCGGCGGGUUUUGCGCCGGUGAGGGUUGGGGUCGCCGGAGAAGAUUGAUGUUGAGAGGGAAGAAGAAGAGUUGCAGAGAAUGAAUGCGUGAAAGUAAUUGAGUGAGAUUUCAUUAGAUGAUUGACACAAGGUAAUUUUUAAUCUCAGCCUUAAGAAGCUAGUAAGACAUAUGCAAGGUAUAUUUAAUUUAAUUACGAACCUUCUUUAAGCCCAUAACGUCUGAAAGUUCCUUCAACAUCUCCUUCUCAUUGUUUUCCUUUGUAUUGUCUGUGGGAUCUCCAAUCUGAUCUUCACAUACAGAUUCAGAUUCUCCAUCUUUAAGAAUGGCUUCAUCACUUAUUUCCUAUGAAUAAAUGCAAAAAAACAAAGAAAAGAAAGUUAUACACAUACUCAAUAUGACUAUGACUAACUCAAACUCAAAAUCAUAUGUAUUAUAUAAUAGGUACGUUAUUGCAAUUGGAUUUUACCAAAUCAGAAUUAUAAGGCCAAUUUUCUCCUGACUCCUCCAUUAAUUUUGUGGAAAUUAUGCUAUUAUAUAAAGUUAAUUUUGUGCCAAGAAUAUUAUGUAAGAUAAUUGUGUGGAAGAAUGAAAGUACAGUGUGGAUAAGAGGUGGGUUGAGUUGUUAAUAGGAGGGAGAGAAUGAGAGAGUGAUGAAAAG
This is a long non-coding RNA of Medicago truncatula (barrel medic), 1084 nucleotides long. RefSeq lists it as uncharacterized. Lineage: Eukaryota; Viridiplantae; Streptophyta; Magnoliopsida; Fabales; Fabaceae. The transcript is spliced from 2 exons. The record is from RefSeq and is a predicted model, not a curated record.